This 327-nucleotide ribosomal RNA is filed under the name uncultured Bacteroidota bacterium. RNAcentral describes it as "bacterial SSU rRNA". It matches the Rfam family "Bacterial small subunit ribosomal RNA", at positions 28 to 351 of the family's 1533-position model. Lineage: Bacteria; Pseudomonadati; Bacteroidota. The record is from RNAcentral.
GAUGAACGCUAGCGGCAGGCCUAACACAUGCAAGUCGAGGGGCAACACGAGGUAGCAAUACUUUGGUGGCGACCGGCGCACGGGUGAGUAACGCGUAUGCAACCUACCCUGUACAGGGGGAUAGCCCGGAGAAAUUCGGAUUAAUACCCCAUAAAGAUAUCAGAAGGCAUCUUUUGAUAUUUAAAGUUUCGGCGGUACGGGAUGGGCAUGCGUAACAUUAGCUAGUUGGUAGGUAACGGCCUACCAAGGCAACGAUGUUUAGGGGUCCUGAGAGGGUGAUCCCCCACACUGGUACUGAGACACGGACCAGACUCCUACGGGUGGCAG